This 2767-nucleotide long non-coding RNA is filed under the name Sus scrofa (pig). RNAcentral's name for it is "lncRNA (ENSSSCG00055017656.1)". The record is from RNAcentral. Lineage: Eukaryota; Metazoa; Chordata; Mammalia; Artiodactyla; Suidae.
AGACCUGUGACAAGGGAAGGAAAGUGAGGGGCAGAGAUGUUCAGAGUUAGAAUUUUAGAAGGGAAAGUAAAGGGGAACUAUAGCAAAACACAGCCUCACCUGGCCUCCCAUAAAACUCCAUGUUUGAAUUUAGCUGUCACUUAUCUAUACUUCAUCAUAAAUUUGUUGAGUACCUACACUUUAUCAGACACUUUAAUAUUAGUGCUUAUUGCAUAGUAAUGAUCUUUUUUUCUUCUCUCAUCCCCCAGCUGCCUGAGAAUUCUCACUGAACUGAGACUGUCUUAUCUUUUUUAUCAGAAGAGAGUUUCACAGGAGAAAUCAUCGUGCCAGGCUGAUUCCUCUUAGCGAGAUUGGAUUCUCUCUCAUGAAUGAAAUCCAGACUUCUUAAUCUGGUGUUUGAGGACUCGACAACUGUGGUAAGCUAAGCAAUAUCCUCACAUUAUGUCCAUGCCCUAAUCCUCAGAAGCUGUGAAUGGAUUCUUUAGCAUAGCAGAAGGCACUUUGUGGUUAUGAUUAUGUUAAGGGGUUUGAGAUAGGGAUAUUAUCCUAUAUCCUGCAUGGACCCAGGUUAAUCUUGAGGAUCCUUAAAAGAGGGAGGCAGGAGGAACACAGGUCAGAGAGAGCAGAUUGCACACUCUUCUUCCAGUGCCAUGUCAUUUUCAGAUGCCUAUAAUUUGCCUGAACAUCUAUUGGAUUGUUCACUUCCCUACCUCCAUGAGUCCAGAGUCUCCCCAGCUUCCAAAUGCCACCUCCUUUUGGGAUUUUACUCCUUUCCAUCCUUGGAAUUUUACCUGCUCCUGCAUGAGGAUACCCAUAUGCCAGCACCUCAGCCUGCAAUCCCAAGUCCUGCCAGGGCCUCUUAAAAUUCCAGAAGAUGCCCACACAACCCCUGGAAGAAGGCUUUGGGCUAUGUAGGUAAGGCGUUCCAUUUACACAGAGUAUGGAUUAGAAGUUGGGCAUGGGUUCUGGUUAUGCAUUGCUUUAAAACCCUUAGCCUUUGAGAAAGGGCACAGCCAGAUGAGGGCCAGAGUAGAACUCUCCCAAGCAUAUAGCCUGGGUCAGAGCUUUCUCUUUUCUGGUCUAUGGGAAGUAAUUUAGAAGUCUCAUUUUUAUAGCUUGCUUCUCAACCAGUUCUGAAAGAAAUACAAUCAGAGGAGGGAAUAGAAAGGAGACUUGAGUUUCCUUCCUGCAUACUGUAUGCUUGAUAUCAAGCUGAGGGCUCUACACAUGUUCUCUCACCUGAUCCUCAAGACCUUUGAGAAAGAUACUGAAUUCAGAUUCAAAAAGUAGAUUCCAGGUAGCAUAAGUUAUUUGGUCAAUGUCACAUGACCUAUAAAUGGUAGAGUUGGGAUUUUAACUCAUACCUGUCCAACCUGAACUGCCAUGCUUAUUUGUCAAUGCACUGACUCAUUUAAGUGUUUUAUUGAGGACCUAAUAUUUGGCAGGGAUUUCACAGAUUGCUGGAGAUACGAUGUGAGAAAAUCGGAUAUUGUCUAUGACCUCAUGGAGUUUCCAAUCUCCCGAGACCAUCACAGAAGCAAGUAGCAUUUCCAUUUGACAUUUGCUAACGGAAGCAGGUAGUACACUUUCGUUUCAUGAUGUCAACUCAAAGCGCUAAGGGCAGACCUUAGGAGGGUAUGACAAGCUGUGGGAAAGCAUGCUUUCAAGAGUAGGGAAGGACUUAGGACCUCUCAAAUCAUGUUAGAUCAGGCUAUUAAGCCCCAUUUAUAAGACUACCCAACUUACAGAAAUAUACUAUCAGCACAUGCUCCUGAAUAUAACCCUGCAUUAUGGGGCUUAUAGAGUGUUUGCUUAUUGCACUUCUCAGAGUAGAAUUGUCACUAUUAGAAAACUUGCAAGUGUUUGGUGGUGUGAUAGAAUUAAAUUUAUUAACUUACUGUGGCAUUGAACUUGCUCUAUCAUUAGGACAAACAUGAACAUUAUAUUUAGCAUGAUAUUUUGGAAGUGUUCAGGUAAAGUAUAACCUACUGAAACCCAGUCUCAGUCAGGCAGGUUGACACCAGUUUUUGCAAAGGUUUUUGUUAUUGUUUGUUAGUUUUGGUUUUUAAUUAUACACAGAAGAGCGACAAUGUAAGGUAAGUUGUUCAAGGUCACAGAGCAAAUUGAGGGCCAAAGUGGAUAAGGAUGUAGAAAUGAAGGGUUAUAAACUUCUGACUCCUGAAUGUGUGUGUGUGUGUGUGUGUGUGUAAUCCUUCACUCUGCCUUUCAUUUAACAUUUCACAAAGAAAGAAGAAAAGACUUGAGGAUCUGCAUAUGGUGUGAGGAGUGAGUUCAGUGCUGCUUUUAAUUGAAAGCUCUGAGGGCCAAGCUUGCAGAGCCGGGUAACAGCUGUAGUGCACGCCACUGCCCCGUCACGCUUGUGUUGCCAUAAUAGACAGGCUUAUUAUUUUUUAAUUAGGAGCUUCAGUGUUUUGUUAAACUGCAAAUGUGUCAGGACCUGGGGAUUUGGUUUUACACUCAACCGUCUUGCAUUUAAUCUUUCUGGAAGCUUUUGGGAGACGCAGGGUCAGUUUGUAAAAGGCAUUUCGUUAUUGUGGAAUAACAAUAGUUAACAUUCACUGUGCGUUUGCCAUUUUCCAGGCAUUAGGGUGAAUACUAUUUGAAUUCAUUUAUCAACUCACCCACCAACCACUGAACCGAUACAUAUUCCUUGAGCUCCCAUCAUGGAUCAGUGGCGAUGUUAGGCAUUUUGGUGGAUAGAUAAGAGAUGAAUAAAGCCCAUCCAGAAUCACUCCUCUGGGACGUU